RNAcentral lists this ribosomal RNA (277 nucleotides) under uncultured prokaryote. Its description in RNAcentral is "partial 16S ribosomal RNA". It matches the Rfam family "Bacterial small subunit ribosomal RNA", at positions 524 to 800 of the family's 1533-position model. The record is from RNAcentral.
UACGGAGGAUCCGAGCGUUAUCCGGAUUUAUUGGGUUUAAAGGGUGCGCAGGCGGAAUAUUAAGUCGGCGGUGAAAGUUUGCAGCUUAACUGUAAAAUUGCCGUUGAUACUGGUAUUCUUGAGUGUAUAUGAAGUAGGCGGAAUUUGUAGUGUAGCGGUGAAAUGCAUAGAUAUUACAAGGAACUCCGAUUGCGAAGGCAGCUUACUAAAUUACAACUGACGCUUAGGCACGAAGGCGUGGGUAUCAAACAGGAUUAGAUACCCCGGUAGUCCCUGA